Molecule: ribosomal RNA, 433 nt
Filed under: uncultured bacterium
Lineage: Bacteria
Description: partial 16S ribosomal RNA
Rfam family: Bacterial small subunit ribosomal RNA
Source: RNAcentral
AACGAACGCUGGCGGCAUGCCUAACACAUGCAAGUCGAACGAGACCUUCGGGUCUAGUGGCGCACGGGUGCGUAACGCGUGGGAACCUGCCCUUAGGUUCGGAAUAACUCCCCGACAGGGGUGCUAAUACCGGAUAAUGUCUUCGGACCAAAGAUUUAUCGCCUUUGGAUGGGCCCGCGUUGGAUUAGCUAGUUGGUAGGGUAAAAGCCUACCAAGGCGACGAUCCAUAGCUGGUCUGAGAGGAUGAUCAGCCACACUGGGACUGAGACACGGCCCAGACUCCUACGGGAGGCAGCAGGGGGGAAUAUUGGACAAUGGGCGAAAGCCUGAUCCAGCAAUGCCGCGUGAGUGAUGAAGGCCUUAGGGUUGUAAAGCUCUUUUACCCGGGAUGAUAAUGACAGUACCGGGAGAAUAAGCACCGGCUAACUCCGUG